GAUGAACGCUGGCGGCGUGCCUAAUACAUGCAAGUCGAGCGAACAGACGAGGCGCUUGCUCCUCUGACGUUAGCGGCGGACGGGUGAGUAACACGUGGAUAACCUACCUAUAAGACUGGGAUAACUUCGGGAAACCUGAGCUAAUACCGGAUAAUAUAUUGAACCGCAUGGUUCAAUAGUGAAAGACGGUUUUGCUGUCACUUAUAGAUGGUUCCGCGCCGCAUUAGCUAGUUGGUAAGGUAACGGCUUACCAAGGCAACGAUGCGUAGCCGACCUGAGAGGGUGAUCAGCCACACUGGAACUGAGACACGGUCCAGACUCCUACGGGAGGCAGCAGUAGGGAAUCUUCCGCAAUGGGCGAAAGCCUGACGGAGCAACGCCGCGUGAGUGAUGAAGGUCUUCGGAUCGUAAAACUCUGUUAUUAGGGAAGAACAAAUGUGUAAGUAACUAUGCACGUCUUGACGGUACCUAAUCAGAAAGCCACGGCUAACUACGUG
This 497-nucleotide ribosomal RNA is filed under the name uncultured bacterium. RNAcentral's name for it is "partial 16S ribosomal RNA". It matches the Rfam family "Bacterial small subunit ribosomal RNA", at positions 28 to 507 of the family's 1533-position model. The record is from RNAcentral.